GCUGAGCUUUGUAGUGUGAGCCUGUAACCCAAGUGGGAGCAUUAAGAUGGUGGAACAGUGGGCCUUUCCUUGAAGGCUGGGCCUUCGCUGCUAUCUACUGGUUUGCCCGUUCCAAGUGGAUUAUUAUUAUUUCCUGUAUAUAUUUUAUAUUAUGUGGCUUAGAUAGCUUGACUUAGUUUAGCUAUUGAAUAGGAUCAGUUAGAGUUUGCCCGUUCCAAGUGGAUUAUUAUUAUUUCCUGUAUAUAUUUUAUAUUAUGUGGCUUAGAUAGCUUGACUUAGUUUAGCUAUUGAAUAGGAUCAGUUAGAGUUAGAUAUACUCUAUAAUCCUGUUUGUUACGAUCAUUAACGAAAUUCCUUUUCCUUAGAUUGGAGGGCACCGCGUGAGGCUCUCUUCACAGAGCAGCGAAAACCUCCUCCUCUCUGCAGUGGAAGGAUAAUGGGCCGGUGCAUCCUCUACCCAAUAACGCCUGACGGGCUGUCGAAAUUGAACCACCAACUUU
This 500-nucleotide signal recognition particle RNA is filed under the name Ipomoea nil (Japanese morning glory). RNAcentral's name for it is "Plant signal recognition particle RNA". It matches the Rfam family "Plant signal recognition particle RNA". Lineage: Eukaryota; Viridiplantae; Streptophyta; Magnoliopsida; Solanales; Convolvulaceae. The record is from Rfam by way of RNAcentral.